AUUGCACGCUGGCGGCAGGCCUAACACAUGCAAGUCGAGCGAGCGGCGGACGGGUGAGUAAUGUAUGGGGACUGCCCGAUAGAGGGGGAUAACUACUGGAAACGGUGGCUAAUACCGCAUACUAUCGGAUAACCCAUAUGGGAUUAGCUAGUAGGUGGGGUAACGGCUCACCUAGGCGACGAUUUAUAGCUGGUGUGAGAGGAUGAUCGGCCACACUGGUACGGAGACACGGCCCAUACUCCUACGGAGGCAGCAGUGGGGAAUAUUACACAAUGGGCGCAAGCCUGAUGCAGCCCUGCCGCGUGAAUGAAGACGGCCUUAGGGUUGUAAAGUACUUUCAGCGGGGAGGCGUUACCCGCAGAAGAAGCACCGGCUAACUCCGUGCCAGCAGCCGCGGUAAUUC
Molecule: ribosomal RNA, 403 nt
Filed under: uncultured bacterium
Lineage: Bacteria
Description: partial 16S ribosomal RNA
Rfam family: Bacterial small subunit ribosomal RNA
Source: RNAcentral